RNAcentral lists this ribosomal RNA (396 nucleotides) under uncultured bacterium. RNAcentral describes it as "partial 16S ribosomal RNA". It matches the Rfam family "Bacterial small subunit ribosomal RNA", at positions 523 to 918 of the family's 1533-position model. The record is from RNAcentral.
AUACGUAGGUGGCAAGCGUUGUCCGGAUUUACUGGGUGUAAAGGGCGUGUAGGCGGAGAUGCAAGUCAGGAGUGAAAUCUAGGGGCUCAACCCCUAAACUGCUUUUGAAACUGUAUCCCUUGAGUAUCGGAGAGGCAGGCGGAAUUUCUAGUGUAGCGGUGAAAUGCGUAGAUAUUAGGAGGAACACCAGUGGCGAAGGCGGCCUGCUGGACGACAACUGACGCUGAGGCGCGAAAGCGUUGGGAGCAAACAGGAUUAGAUACCCUGGUAGUCCACGCUGUAAACGAUGAAUACUAGGUGUGGGGGGACUGACCCCCUCCGUGCCGCAGUUAACACAAUAAGUAUUCCACCUGGGGAGUACGAUCUCAAGAUUGAAACUCAAAGGAAUUGACGGGG